AGUGAACGCUGGCGGUAGGCCUAACACAUGCAAGUCGAACGGCAGCACAGUAAGAGCUUGCUCUUACGGGUGGCGAGUGGCGGACGGGUGAGGAAUACAUCGGAAUCUACUUUUUCGUGGGGGAUAACGUAGGGAAACUUACGCUAAUACCGCAUACGACCUACGGUUGAAAGCAGGGGAUCUUCGGACCUUGCGCGAUUGAAUGAGCCGAUGUCGGAUUAGCUAGUUGGCGGGGUAAAGGCCCACCAAGGCGACGAUCCGUAGCUGGUCUGAGAGGAGGAUCAGCCACACUGGAACUGAGACACGGUCCAGACUCCUACGGGAGGCAGCAGUGGGGAAUAUUGGACAAUGGGCGCAAGCCUGAUCCAGCCAUACCGCGUGGGUGAAGAAGGCCUUCGGGUUGUAAAGACCUUUUGUUGGGAAAGAAAAGCAGCAGGUUAAUACCCCGCUGUUCUGACGGUACCAAAAGAAUAAGCACCGGCUAACUUCGUG
Molecule: ribosomal RNA, 492 nt
Filed under: uncultured bacterium
Lineage: Bacteria
Description: partial 16S ribosomal RNA
Rfam family: Bacterial small subunit ribosomal RNA
Source: RNAcentral